UGAGGAAUAUUGGACAAUGGGCGCAAGCCUGAUCCAGCAAUGCCGCGUGCAGGAUGAAGGCCUUCGGGUUGUAAACUGCUUUUUUACGGAGCGAAAAGGUCUUCCCUAAUACGGUGGGCUCAUUACGGUACCGUAAGAAUAAGCACCGGCUAACUACGUGCCAGCAGCCGCGGUAAUACGUAGGGUGCGAGCGUUAAUCGGAAUUACUGGGCGUAAAGCGUGCGCAGGCGGUUAUAUAAGACAGAUGUGGAAUCCCCGGGCUCAACCUGGGACCUGCAUUUGUGACUGUAUAGCUAGAGUACGGUAGAGGGGGAGGGGAUUCCGCGUGUAGCAGUGAAAUGCGUAGAUAUGCGGGGGAACACCGAUGGCGAAGGCAAUCCCCUGGACCUGUACUGACGCUCAUGCACGAAAGCGUGGGGAGCAAACA
Molecule: ribosomal RNA, 427 nt
Filed under: uncultured bacterium
Lineage: Bacteria
Description: bacterial SSU rRNA
Rfam family: Bacterial small subunit ribosomal RNA
Source: RNAcentral